RNAcentral lists this ribosomal RNA (571 nucleotides) under Scutellinia trechispora. RNAcentral's name for it is "eukaryotic LSU rRNA". It matches the Rfam family "Eukaryotic large subunit ribosomal RNA", at positions 66 to 647 of the family's 3401-position model. The record is from RNAcentral. Lineage: Eukaryota; Fungi; Ascomycota; Pezizomycetes; Pezizales; Pyronemataceae.
CAACAGGGAUUGCCUUAGUAACUGCGAGUGAAGCGGCAAGAGCUCAAAUUUUAAAUCUGACGUCCUCGGGCGUCCGAGUUGUAAUUUGGAGGGACAUAUUCGGUGGCGGCGCCGUCCUAAGUUCCUUGGAACAGGACGUCACAGAGGGUGAGAAUCCCGUGCCUGGGCGGCUGCCCGUCACCUUGUGAAUUGUCUCCAACGAGUCGAGUUGUUUGGGAAUGCAGCUCAAAAUGGGUGGUAAAUUUCAUCUAAAGCUAAAUAUUGGCGAGAGACCGAUAGCGCACAAGUAGAGUGAUCGAAAGAUGAAAAGCACUUUGAAAAGAGAGUUAAAAAGUACGUGAAAUUGUUGAAAGGGAAGCGCUUGCGACCAGAUUCGAUCUUUGGCGAUCCUCUGGGCCUUCCAGGCUCGGUGCGCUUGCCACUGAUCGGGCCAGCAUCGGUUCCGAGGGCGGGAUAAAAGUUCGGGGAAUGUGGCUUCCUUCGGGAGGUGUUAUAGACCCGAUCAUAAUGCCGCCAUUUGGGACCGAGGACCGCGCUUCGGCUAGGAUGCUGGCGUAAUGGUCUUAAGCGA